GACAAUGAGAAUGAUGGUCGUAGUGUGAACGUAGUUAGGUCGUAAGAAGAGCGUGAUGAGGACGGCAAGGGCGUGCUAGAAUCGUACUAUGGUCGUGAACAGCGUGGUAUAGUCGUAGUGGAAGCGUAGUUGGGUCGCAGUGAGAACGUGAUGGUCGUAGUGAGGUCGUGAUAACGUCGCUGUGCGAUCGUAGCGCAGUCUCUCCGAAUA
Molecule: long non-coding RNA, 210 nt
Filed under: Mytilus galloprovincialis (Mediterranean mussel)
Lineage: Eukaryota; Metazoa; Mollusca; Bivalvia; Mytilida; Mytilidae
Source: RNAcentral